AGAGUUUGAUCAUGGCUCAGAGCGAACGCUGGCGGCAGGCUUAACACAUGCAAGUCGAACGGGCACCUUCGGGUGUCAGUGGCAGACGGGUGAGUAACACGUGGGAACGUGCCUUUCGGUUCGGAACAACCCAGGGAAACUUGGGCUAAUACCGGAUACGCCCUUCGGGGGAAAGAUUUAUCGCCGAAAGAUCGGCCCGCGUCUGAUUAGCUUGUUGGUGAGGUAACGGCUCACCAAGGCGACGAUCAGUAGCUGGUCUGAGAGGAUGAUCAGCCACACUGGGACUGAGACACGGCCCAGACUCCUACGGGAGGCAGCAGUGGGGAAUAUUGGACAAUGGGCGAAAGCCUGAUCCAGCCAUGCCGCGUGAGUGAUGAAGGCCUUAGGGUUGUAAAGCUCUUUCGACGGGGACGAUAAUGACGGUACCCGUAGAAGAAGCCCCGGCUAACUUCGUGCCAGCAGCCGCGGUAAUACGAAGGGGGCUAGCGUUGCUCGGAAUCACUGGGCGUAAAGGGCGCGUAGGCGGACUCUUAAGUCAGAGGUGAAAGCCCAAGGCUCAACCUUGGAAUUGCCUUUGAUACUGGGAGUCUAGAGACCGGAAGAGGUAAGUGGAACUGCGAGUGUAGAGGUGAAAUUCGUAGAUAUUCGCAAGAACACCAGUGGCGAAGGCGGCUUACUGGUCCGGUUCUGACGCUGAGGCGCGAAAGCGUGGGGAGCAAACAGGAUUAGAUACCCCCGUAGUCC
This 744-nucleotide ribosomal RNA is filed under the name uncultured Hyphomicrobiales bacterium. Its description in RNAcentral is "bacterial SSU rRNA". It matches the Rfam family "Bacterial small subunit ribosomal RNA", at positions 8 to 796 of the family's 1533-position model. The record is from RNAcentral. Lineage: Bacteria; Pseudomonadati; Pseudomonadota; Alphaproteobacteria; Hyphomicrobiales.